This 75-nucleotide transfer RNA is filed under the name Marmoricola endophyticus. RNAcentral's name for it is "tRNA-Met". It matches the Rfam family "tRNA". From Rfam's summary of the family: Transfer RNA (tRNA) molecules are approximately 80 nucleotides in length. Their secondary structure includes four short double-helical elements and three loops (D, anti-codon, and T loops). Further hydrogen bonds mediate the characteristic L-shaped molecular structure. tRNAs have two regions of fundamental functional importance: the anti-codon, which is responsible for specific mRNA codon recognition, and the 3' end, to which the tRNAs corresponding amino acid is attached (by aminoacyl-tRNA synthetases). tRNAs cope with the degeneracy of the genetic code in two manners: having more than one tRNA (with a specific anti-codon) for a particular amino acid; and 'wobble' base-pairing, i.e. permitting non-standard base-pairing at the 3rd anti-codon position. The record is from RNAcentral. Lineage: Bacteria; Bacillati; Actinomycetota; Actinomycetes; Propionibacteriales; Nocardioidaceae.
CGCGGGGUGGAGCAGCUCGGUAGCUCGCUGGGCUCAUAACCCAGAGGUCGCAGGUUCAAAUCCUGCCCCCGCCAC